This 496-nucleotide ribosomal RNA is filed under the name uncultured bacterium. Its description in RNAcentral is "partial 16S ribosomal RNA". It matches the Rfam family "Bacterial small subunit ribosomal RNA", at positions 29 to 507 of the family's 1533-position model. The record is from RNAcentral.
AUGAACGCUGGCGGCGUGCCUAAUACCUGCAAGUCGAGCGAACGGACGAGAAGCUUGCUUUUCUGAUGUUAGCGGCGGACGGGUGAGUAACACAUGGAUAACCUACCUAUAAGACUGGGAUAACUUCGGGAAACCGGAGCUAAUACCGGAUAAUAUUUUGAACCGCAUGGUUCAAAAGUGAAAGACGGUCUUGCUGUCACUUAUAGAUGGAUCCGCGCUGCAUUAGCUAGUUGGUAAGGUAACGGCUUACCAAGGCAACGAUGCAUAGCCGACCUGAGAGGGUGAUCGGCCACACUGGAACUGAGACACGGUCCAGACUCCUACGGGAGGCAGCAGUAGGGAAUCUUCCGCAAUGGGCGAAAGCCUGACGGAGCAACGCCGCGUGAGUGAUGAAGGUCUUCGGAUCGUAAAACUCUGUUAUUAGGGAAGAACAUAUGUGUAAGUAACUGUGCACAUCUUGACGGUACCUAAUCAGAAAGCCACGGCUAACUACGUG